This 764-nucleotide long non-coding RNA is filed under the name Apteryx owenii (little spotted kiwi). RNAcentral describes it as "lncRNA (ENSAOWG00000004356.1)". Lineage: Eukaryota; Metazoa; Chordata; Aves; Apterygiformes; Apterygidae. The record is from RNAcentral.
CGCUGUCCCCGUCCCCCCCGUCCCCGUCUCCCAAUAAACGCCGGUGUCCGGUGGAAGGAGGGGGGGGGGGCUGCGGCCCCCGGCGUCGCCUUUAAUUCCCGCCGCGUCGCCGGGGCAGAAACGGCCCCGGAGAGACCCCCGGGACCCGCCGCCGGGAUUUGGGGCCGGGAACAAGUCCAGAGCCAUCAUUUGGGGUCAGGAGCCGGGAUUCGGGGCCGGGAAUUGGGAUUCAGGGCCAGGAACAAGUCCGGAGCCACCGUUCAGGGUCAGGAGCCGGGAUUUGGGGCCAGGAACUGGGAUUUGGGGACCAGGAGCCAGGAUUCGGGGCCGGGAACUGGGAUUUGGGGACUGGAGCGAGUCCGGAGUCACCAUUCGGGGUUGGGAGCCGGGAUUCGGCGACCAAAGCGAGCCAAGAGCUGGGAUUUGGGGACCGGAGCGAACCUGGAGCCACCGUUCGGGGCCAGGAGCUGGGAUUCGGGGCUGGGAAUGAGUCCGGAGUCACCGUUUGGGGUUGGGAGCCGGGAUCGGGGCACAGGAUGGAGCCCAGAGCUGGGAUUUGGGGCCGGGAACUGGGAUUUGGGGACCGGAGCGAGUCCGGAGUCACCGUUCAGGGUUGGGAUCUGGGAUUCGGGGCUGGGAACUGGGAUUCAGGGACCGGAGCGAGUCCGGAGUCACCGUUCGGGGCUGGGAUUCAGGGCCGGGAACUGGGAUUUGGGGACUGGAGCAAGCCCAGAGCCGCCGUUCGGGGCCGGGAUUUGGGAAUC